UGUUUUUAAUACUGAAAUAUUAACCUAAUUAACUCCUAGAUAUGAUCUUAAAAAUCUAAUAUUCUAACCAAUAUUAUUCUAACUAACAGCCAUUAAAAUUCUAAUUAAUACUGCUACUAACCUCUAAAAUUAACAAUCCAUUAAUCCUAAACAAAUAACCAACAAUUACUAACCAUAUGAUCAUCAGAAUGGGCCUUGUGGAUCGAUUAGAGGGGGUGCAGUAAUGAAACAAAACGCUUGGGCCUGGUAGUGAUGAAGAUGCCAAUGCAAUUGGAUAGAAUGAGGAUGCUGCCUCCCUGCUCAUUCGUUAACUAACCAGAAGUAGAAAAUAGAAGAAAGGCAGAGCAGGACGCCCAAAACGAUGCCCUAGCCGCGCCGGUCAUCGGCGGCGGCGACUAUUCGCGGUCAUGCGACCCUACCUCACACCACUCUCCACCUCCUAAUCUAUCAACAAAGAGAAAACAACUCCUCCUAGCGAAACGAAGAUAUCAAGGUCUGGCUCUUACCACGGGCAGCGAAGGGAGAUCCAUCGAUCCGAUAUUCAACGUACGGUCCGGCGAUUCUUCAAUCCUCCUUGCUGCUCUUUUGAUUUGCUUCCAGAAAUGCGUUGUUGUGGUUCUUUGUUGGAAAAGGAAUGAAGAUCGGAGACGAGUUGAUGAAUGAGGUCGUCGGGAUCUUCAGAAGCACCGGCGCUAAUGAAUCGUCGGGAUGGAGAAGAAGUAAUGGCGAAUUCUCGAGAUCUACCACUGUUACAGUCUCGGAAAGCGGAGGAAAUAGCAUUCAAUAAUGGUGAAAUGCUGAGGUUCAAUCAGGAAUUCUGUUACAAGUUAUGGUUGGUUGCGGUUAUGGUGAAGAGGAGUUCUUGGAUGGAUUCGCAGUGGUUGAAGGUUGAGGCUGAAGGAUUGGUUGAAGACGAUUCCAGAUUGUGGUUGUGAAGUGUUUCAGAAUUCCUUCCGAUUGUGAAUUUUUUCUGUUGUUGAAGAUUUGGCGAAGGUUGUUUAGAGAUGCGAUAAGGAUUCGAGAGAGAGCUGGAAGAUGAGAAGAAGAUUGAUUUUAUAGGGUGAUGGUGAAGGAACUGGAACUCAGUAGUGAUUCCAUUGAAGAGUUGGUUGAAGGUUUGUUACAGGUUGAAGAAGAAAAAGAGGUUACGGAAAUUUGUUACGGUUAGGGGAGUUUUGGAGGGAAAGAAGAAGAAGAAGAAUCUGGAAACUUUGAGAAUUUAUAUAGUUGUGAGAGUGAGAUUAGAAGCAAUUAAGAAGAAAAUUAUGUUAUGAAUUUGUUAUUAUCCGGCUUUCCUUUUUCUGUUAUUGGAUUGUGAUUUUAUCUGUGAAAUUAUGCAGGAAUGGCGUUCAUGCUGGCUUGGCUUGGUGGAUUUUGGAAGUGGCUUUGCUCAUGAUGUGGCUGGCGUUUUGGAUGAAUGCAAAAUGCAGAAUUUUUCUUAAUGCAGAAUUUGUAAAUGCAAUGCAGAAUUUUUUUAAUGCAGAAUUUUUAAUGCAGAAUUUGUAAAUGCAAUGCAGAAUUUUUUUAAUGCAGAAUUUUUAAUGCAGAAUUUGUAAAUGCAAUGCAGAAUUUUGAUUUUGACUA
This is a long non-coding RNA of Lathyrus oleraceus (garden pea), 1584 nucleotides long. RefSeq lists it as uncharacterized. NCBI's taxonomy places the organism in Eukaryota, Viridiplantae, Streptophyta, Magnoliopsida, Fabales, Fabaceae. The transcript is spliced from 2 exons. The record is from RefSeq and is a predicted model, not a curated record.